Molecule: ribosomal RNA, 479 nt
Filed under: Arthrobacter sp. 17AGIII
Lineage: Bacteria; Bacillati; Actinomycetota; Actinomycetes; Micrococcales; Micrococcaceae
Description: bacterial SSU rRNA
Rfam family: Bacterial small subunit ribosomal RNA
Source: RNAcentral
AUGAUCUGGUGCUUGCACUGGGGAUUAGUGGCGAACGGGUGAGUAACACGUGAGUAACCUGCCCUUAACUCUGGGAUAAGCCUUGGAAACGAGGUCUAAUACUGGAUAUUGACAUUUCCUCGCAUGGGGUUUUGUUGAAAGAUUUAUUGGUUUUGGAUGGACUCGCGGCCUAUCAGCUUGUUGGUGAGGUAAUGGCUCACCAAGGCGACGACGGGUAGCCGGCCUGAGAGGGUGACCGGCCACACUGGGACUGAGACACGGCCCAGACUCCUACGGGAGGCAGCAGUGGGGAAUAUUGCACAAUGGGCGAAAGCCUGAUGCAGCGACGCCGCGUGAGGGAUGACGGCCUUCGGGUUGUAAACCUCUUUCAGUAGGGAAGAAGCCGGCUUUUGGGUUGGUGACGGUACCUGCAGAAGAAGCGCCGGCUAACUACGUGCCAGCAGCCGCGGUAAUACGUAGGGCGCAAGCGUUAUCCGGAA